CCUACGGGGAGCAGCAGUCGAGAAUCAUUCACAAUGGGGGAAACCCUGAUGGUGCGACGCCGCGUGGGGGAAUGAAGGUCUUCGGAUUGUAAACCCCUGUCAUGUGGGAGCAAAUUAAAAAGAUAGUACCACAAGAGGAAGAGACGGCUAACUCUGUGCCAGCAGCCGCGGUAAUACAGAGGUCUCAAGCGUUGUUCGGAAUCACUGGGCGUAAGGCGUGCGUAGGCUGUUUCGUAAGUCGUGUGUGAAAGGCGCGGGCUCAACCCGCGGACGGCACAUGAUACUGCGAGACUAGAGUAAUGGAGGGGGAACCGGAAUGCUCGGUGUAGCAGUGAAAUGCGUAGAGAUCGAGAGGAACACUCGUGGCGAAGGCGGGUUCCUGGACAUUAACUGACGCUGAGGCACGAAGGCCAGGGGAGCGAAAGGGAUUAGAUACCCCGGUAGUC
RNAcentral lists this ribosomal RNA (446 nucleotides) under uncultured bacterium. Its description in RNAcentral is "partial 16S ribosomal RNA". It matches the Rfam family "Bacterial small subunit ribosomal RNA", at positions 338 to 795 of the family's 1533-position model. The record is from RNAcentral.